AAUCAUCAACAAUUACAAGAGCAUAGUAAUUUCCACCAAAACUUUUAAUUCUAGAUGGACCAAACAAGUCCAUAUGCAAGAGUUCUAAAGGUUUUGAUGUUGAAAUCAUGCUUUUUGAUGAAAAUGAAGAUUUUGUUUGUUUACCUUUUUGACAUGCAAAGCAUAAUUUGUCUUUCUCAAAUUUCAGUAUAGGCAAACCAAUCACAAGAUCUUUAGAAAUUAAUUUAUUCAAAUGUUGCAUGUGAAUAUGUGCAGCUCUUUUAUGCCNNAGCCAAGGAUUUUCUUCUUUAGCAACUAAGCAUGUUAUACUAUGACUAGAUGCACUUUCAAUAUCAAUC
Molecule: long non-coding RNA, 338 nt
Filed under: Vigna radiata
Lineage: Eukaryota; Viridiplantae; Streptophyta; Magnoliopsida; Fabales; Fabaceae
Description: long non-coding RNA (VRAD_LNC006136)
Source: RNAcentral